Molecule: ribosomal RNA, 256 nt
Filed under: uncultured bacterium
Lineage: Bacteria
Description: partial 16S ribosomal RNA
Rfam family: Bacterial small subunit ribosomal RNA
Source: RNAcentral
UACGUAGGGUGCAAGCGUUGUCCGGAAUUAUUGGGCGUAAAGAGCUCGUAGGCGGUCUGUCGCGUCGGCUGUGAAAACUCGGGGCUCGACCCCGAGCCUGCAGUCGAUACGGGCAGACUAGAGUGCUGUAGGGGAGACUGGAAUUCCUGGUGUGAGCGGUGAAAUGCGCAGAUAGUCAGGAGGAACACCGGUGGCGAAGGCGGGUCUCUGGGCCGAUAUUGACGCUGGAGGAGCGAAAGCGUGGGGAGCAAACGGG